UAUACAUCAAUAUCGCAUGAGAAGAUGUAGAAAGUCGCUCUUUGUGGCGACGCUUUUGGGAUGAGGGGUGCGACGUAUCAGAUAGUUGGGUGAGGUAAUGGCUCACCAAGUCAAUGACGCGUAGCUGUACUGAGAGGUAGAACAGCCACAAUGGGACUGAGACACGGCCCAUACUCCUACGGGAGGCAGCAGUAGGGAAUUUUUCACAAUGGGCGCAAGCCUUAUGAAGCAAUGCCGCGUGAACGAUGAAGGUCUUAUAGAUUGUAAAGUUCUUUUAUAUGGGAAGAAACGCUAAGAUAGGAAAUGAUUUAGUUUGACUGUACCAUUUGAAUAAGUAUCGGCUAACUAUGUGCCAGCAGCCGCGGUAAU
Molecule: ribosomal RNA, 369 nt
Filed under: uncultured Ureaplasma sp.
Lineage: Bacteria; Bacillati; Mycoplasmatota; Mycoplasmoidales; Mycoplasmoidaceae
Description: bacterial SSU rRNA
Rfam family: Bacterial small subunit ribosomal RNA
Source: RNAcentral